RNAcentral lists this ribosomal RNA (538 nucleotides) under uncultured bacterium. RNAcentral describes it as "bacterial SSU rRNA". It matches the Rfam family "Bacterial small subunit ribosomal RNA", at positions 390 to 919 of the family's 1533-position model. The record is from RNAcentral.
AGCGACGCCGCGUGGUGACGAAGGCCUUCGGGUUGUAAAGCCCUGUGGGGUAGAACGAACUGGCAUCGGGCUAAUAUCCCGGUGUCUUGACGGUACUGCCUUAGCAAGCAUCGGCUAACUCUGUGCCAGCAGCCGCGGUAAGACAGAGGAUGCGAACGUUGCUCGGAUUUACUGGGCGUAAAGCGCGUGUAGGCGGUCUCGUUAGUCGGGUGUGAAAGCCCCGGGCUCAACCCGGGAAGUGCACCCGAUACUGCGAGACUGGGGUACUGAAGAGGAGAGCGGAAUUCCCGGUGUAGAGGUGAAAUUCGUAGAUAUCGGGAGGAACACCAGUGGCGAAGGCGGCUCUCUGGGCAGAUACCGACGCUGAGACGCGAAAGCGUGGGGAGCAAACAGGAUUAGAUACCCUGGUAGUCCACGCUGUAAACGAUGACGACUGGGUGUUGCAGGUAUUGACCCCUGCGGUGCCGAAGCCAACGCGUUAAGUCGUCCGCCUGGGAAGUACGGCCGCAAGGCUAAAACUCAAAGGAAUUGACGGGGG